Molecule: RNA transcript, 1919 nt
Organism: Odobenus rosmarus divergens (Pacific walrus)
Lineage: Eukaryota; Metazoa; Chordata; Mammalia; Carnivora; Odobenidae
Gene name: peptidyl-prolyl cis-trans isomerase FKBP5-like
Exons: 1
Source: RefSeq, a predicted model, not a curated record
CGACAGAAAAGUUGCAAGACCUAGUACAAGGAACAUCCAGAUUCACCAGUUGUUGGUGUAUGCGCUUGUUCAAACUUACUGAGCUGACUACUUAAGAUCUGGGCAUUUUACAGUUUUCUAACUUAAAAAAGACCAUGACUACUGAUGAAGGUGCCAAGAACAAUGGAGAAAACCCAGCAGCAGCUAUGGCUGAACGUGGAGAGGAUAUCACCUCUAAAAAAGAUAGAGGAGUAUUAAAGAUUGUCAAAAGAGUGGGGAAUAGUGAGGAAAUACCAAUGAUUAGAGACAAAGUUUAUGUCCACUACAAAGGGAAAUUGUCAAAUGGAAAGAAGUUUGAUUCCAGUCAUGAUAGAAAUGAACCAUUUGUCUUUAGUCUUGGCAAAGGCCAAGUCAUCAAGGCAUGGGACAUUGGGGUGGCUACCAUGAAGAAAGGAGAGAUCUGCCAUUUACUCUGCAAACCAGAAUAUGCAUAUGGCUCAGCAGGCAGUCUCCCCAAAAUUCCCUCAAGUGCAACUCUCUUUUUUGAAAUUGAGCUGCUUGAUUUCAAAGGAGAGGAUUUAUUUGAAGAUGGAGGCAUUAUCCGAAGAGUCAAACAGAAAGGAGAAGGAUAUUCAAACCAAACGAAGGAGCAACAGUUGAAAUCCACCUGGAAGGCCGCUAUGAUGGAAGGAUGUUUGAUUGCAGAGAUGUGGUAUUCAUUGUUGGGGAAGGAGACGACCAUGACAUUCCAAUUGGAAUUGACAAAGCCCUGGAGAAAAUGCAACGGGAAGAACAAUGUAUUUUAUAUCUUGGACCACGAUAUGGUUUUGGAGAGGCAGGGAAGCCUAAAUUUGGCAUUGAACCUAAUGCUGAGCUUAUAUAUGAAGUGACACUUAAGAGCUUCGAAAAGACCAAAGAAUCCUGGGAGAUGGACACCAAAGAAAAAUUGGAGCAGGCUGCCAUUAAAGAAGGCUGUUAAAGAGAAGGGAACUGUGUACUUCAAGGGAGGCAAGUACAUGCAGGCAGUGAUUCAAUAUGGGAAGAUCGUAUCCUGGUUAGAGAUGGAAUAUGGCUUAUCAGAAAAGGAGUCUAAAGCUUCUGAGUCAUUUCUGCUUGCUGCCUUCCUGAACCUGGCCAUGUGCUACCUGAAGCUUAGAGAAUACGCUAAAGCUGUGGAAUGCUGUGAUAAGGCCCUUGGACUAGACAGUGCCAAUGAGGAGGGCUUGUACAGGAGGGGGGAAGCCCAGCUGCUCAUGAACGAGUUUGAGUCAGCCAAGGGCGACUUUGAGAAAGUGCUGGAAGUUAAUCCCCAGAAUAAGGCUGCACGACUGCAGAUCUCCAUGUGCCAGAAAAAGGCUAAGGAGCACAACGAGCGGGAUCGCAGGAUACACGCCAACAUGUUCAAGAAGUUUGCAGAGCAGGAUGCAAAGGAAGAGGCCAGUAAAGCCACGGGCAAGAAGGCUUUAGAAGGGGUCACCAAUGAAAAAGAAACAGAAGGUCAAGCGAUGGAAGAAAAAGCUGGAGGCCACGUAUGACCCCACGCAAAGGAGGGAAGAGCCCUGAUGAACUUGGCCCCUCCUUCACGGGCUUUCACCCAACUCAGGACUAACCAGUGUUUAAUGUCAAGUUUGCUAGAGUCUGUGUGAGUCUGAAAGCAAAUGGCAAAACCAGUAGCUUCCCAGAAAACAGCCACCCUGCUGCUGCCCAGCGCUCUCCUUGAGGGGAUGGCGUGGGACCACUCCAGGUGGGACAAAACAGAAAUCGUGGCAAGACUGAGCCAACAGCUAAGUCCAGCUCAUUUCAGUUUCUGUCAACUUUUAGUAUCUAAUUCAGGGUCCCUUGAGAUAAUCCUGAUAAUUUGGGGCUGUCUGUUAGGUUUUACAUCUGAUUGAACUUCAAUAGCACUGCAGAAACCUAAAAAUAAAUGCCUAAUGACUUUC